UACGAGGGGGGCGAGCGUUGUUCGGAAUUAUUGGGCGUAAAGGGUGCGUAGGCGGUUUGGUAAGUCUUGUGUGAAAUCUACAGGCUCAACUUGUAGUCUGCACGAGAAACUGCCGGGCUUGAGUAUGGGAGAGGUGAGUGGAAUUCCUGGUGUAGCGGUGAAAUGCGUAGAUAUCAGGAGGAACACCUGUGGCGAAGGCGGGUCUCUGGGCCGUUACUGACGCUGAGGAGCGAAAGCGUGGGGAGCGAACAGG
Molecule: ribosomal RNA, 253 nt
Filed under: uncultured bacterium
Lineage: Bacteria
Description: partial 16S ribosomal RNA
Rfam family: Bacterial small subunit ribosomal RNA
Source: RNAcentral